RNAcentral lists this long non-coding RNA (2854 nucleotides) under Nicotiana tabacum (common tobacco). Its description in RNAcentral is "long non-coding RNA (NTAB_LNC017085)". The record is from RNAcentral. Lineage: Eukaryota; Viridiplantae; Streptophyta; Magnoliopsida; Solanales; Solanaceae.
UUAUGCCUGAUGUGCAUGACCUGGCUCUCGCUCUUAUUUUUGACUUGCAUCACCUCUCCAACAUUCCUUGUUCAAGAAAAUCCAAAAUCGAAGGCCAAAGAAGUUGGUGGUUCAAAGAUGAAGCAAGAGAUGAGAUCACUAAGUGCAAUCACACAAAUACUUGAAUAACCUUGCCACUUGUCACAGAUCCUGUGAACUGACUUGGAAAUAAGGCAGUACGAAGAGUUGGGUCAAGCUACUGUGUUUUUGGUGUGACGACCUUCAUGGCACCAUGUGUUGCCGAAGCAAUUGUUUGUGAAGUCCUUUCCCAGUCAGCUUCCUUCAAUUAGAAUGGGCAAAUAGCAAUACAAAAAGUAACAGGAAACAUCUAUAAGCUUAUACGAUAAAGGUCAAAUCAUUGUGACGUUGAGUAUUAGUUUGAAUGUGAUUUACUGUGGUCAGUAUUUUCUGACUUUUUUUGUCAAGAUUAACCACCCGAGUUGUCUCUUAACUGCAAGUGUAGUGUUUAGCUCAUCCGUGAGAAAGCCUCUCUUGUAAUUGCAACUCCACUGAUUCUGGAAAGUGUCGAAUUGCCUGGAUAUUAUUGAAUCAGUCUGUCACUUUGGACACCAAUAACCUGGUGCAGAGGUGGAAAACCUUGAAAUUGGCUAUCAGUAGCUAAGAAUAGCUGACCCCCUUGAGGGACAGGAAAGGUGGCCAAGCUAGAUGUGGGAUAAGCAGAAAUGCAGUCAAAACCAAAUCCCUUUGCAUUCUUCAAGAACUGGCUUUAUGCCCAAUUUUAGCUGUGAAGUUCUUAAGGAAUGGUAUACUGUUCUGAUCACAGGUGCUUUGCAGACAAUAUUUUGAUUGCACUAGAAAGCCACUCAACAUGGAAGCAUCCGCGCUGCUGGAAUGAAAGGUGACCAGUCGUAGUAGCUUAUGAUGGACCUCACGUUAUGUAGGUUAUCAUGUGUCUCAAGAGGAUGACAUAUGACUAAGUUCAUCUUAAAUUCUCUCCUAAAAUUGUAGACUUUUGAUGUACUCAAACUAGUCAUUAAUGUUCAUUCUUGAGAGGUUUGUAGGCAAACUGAAGCUCCAAACAGUUAGACGUAAACGCCAUUAGUAGCGGAAUCUCUAUUGAUAUGCCAAACUGCUGGAAUUUUUCUUCUUCCUUUUUUUUUUCAGUGUCAAACCGCUGGAAUUAAAUUGUAUAAGCACAAAGAUAUGCUUUUGUAGGCCAGCUUACUGUCGUUUGCUUACAGGGUUCUUGCACUAUACCCUUGUAGAUGUCCUUGCCAACUUUAUGAGCUGCAAUCAUAGCAUUCUCCUUAACCAUUCAGUUAUCAGUAGCCACACACCUGACAUAGCUACAGCGAGACUUCUUGUAUCCAAGUGCCACUGCUCCUACUGAAAUGUUUGAAAUCGAAGUUGAAACAUUCACCUCAAAUUCUGAAAGAGUUAUUGAAAAUGUUUAGUGGUUCAAAGAUGAAGCAAGAGAUGAGAUCUGUGAGGGCAAUCGCACAAAUGACUUAUCUUCGACACAAAGAGUUGGACUAAGCUUGCAUUUUUUUUUUAAUACUGUAGUGUUCGGGCCAGCUUGUGUGUACUUCGACUACCACACCGGGUACCUGCUAUCUCUAAUUAGCACAGGUUCCAUGAAGAUUAUCCAUGGUGAUCCUAUGCUUCAUGCGCAAAGAGUUGCUACUAUCAAGCUCCCAUGCCGCUAGCCAGGCCUGCUCAGUCUCCUGAACGGUUGAUCAUUAGGGUUUAAAUGGAGAAAAGGGAGGGGGCGGGGUUGUUACAUUUGAAUGUUGGGACGAUCAAAAUUGUGUAAUAUGUAGUUCUAAAUUGUCAUGUCAACUAAAUUGGAAUUGAGACGCAGUUGAUUGAUUAGGAUGCAAAACAUGUUGGAAAGAAAAUAUCUCCUAUAAUUGGAUCGACAUCUACUGCAUCAAGCUGCCAGUCAGUUGAGUUGCAAUCCCGCCAUGACUUCCCCUGAAUGCUUCAACAAUGUCUAGGUCCUACUUUUGGGUCAUCUCCAUUUUUGCCAAUACAUAAGUCCUUUGACCUACACCGUAUAUCAAGAUAUCAAGCCACAAAGUAAACAUCUCAGAAAUUCAAAAGAAUGAGGAAGCUCAACAUUUCUUGGAAUUAUAAGCUCAACAUCAUCUACUACUUUUGACUUGAACUAUAUUUAAUUUUGAAACAUAUGUGUAUAUAUAAGUAUGCACAUGUUAUCAUAAAUGACCAAUGAAAACGGUCAGUGGCAAAGACACGUAAUUACAAGGGGUGUCAUUGGACUCUAGUUUGCCUGAAAAAUUUACUAAAUAUAUUUCAACAACCCACUGUGAUAAUAGACCAACACCGCGUGAACAAAAUCCUAAAUUCACUACUGACUCACUAACUAACUCAAAAAAAAAAAAACUCAAAAUGUUGAAUACUGUUAGAGCAAGAUAAUGUUGGCAAGCAAUCCAUGCUACAAAUUUUCUUAUGACAAUAAAUAACAAGGUUGAUCUGAUCUUGGAAACCAAGUUCACAUACCUGUUUGGUGUGGUGGUGGCAAAUUUUGGAAAUCAAGGUUUGGACCUUGUUAUUUAACAAUUCUACCAUCUGGGACCAGUGUAAGGCACUCUACCCUCAAUAUCAAAAGCGUGGGCUUCAGAGCCUAUUGUUGGAAGUUGAAGCUUUUUGAAGGAAUAAAGCAUAUGGGCGUGAAUGAGUUGUUUGUCUAUCGGAAACAGACCCUUUCAGGUAUGGGUAAGGCUGUAGUAGAAAUUUACUGGGCUUAUUGUUGUUGUUGUUGUUAUUGCGCGUGAAUAAGUUGCUGAAGGCAGCAAUACAAUUCUAUGAGAAUUGAGAGCAUAGUCAUCACUUG